Molecule: long non-coding RNA, 473 nt
Organism: Priapulus caudatus
Lineage: Eukaryota; Metazoa; Priapulida; Priapulimorpha; Priapulimorphida; Priapulidae
Exons: 3
Source: RefSeq, a predicted model, not a curated record
GACGGGAGGAACAGAGCGAGACGCGGGAGAGAGAACGGUGGAUAUACACUCGGCGUGAGAACUAUGUUUCGCCAAGCAGGUGUGAAGUCCAUCAACCGCACGACUGUAAGAUAUGCACGCGAUGUUUAUGAUUAACUAAAAUUUGAGUUAGACGCAGGUGAGUUAAGACACUCUGAUGCUAGCUGACACGAAGAUGUGGCUCCAGUUUCUUUCAUCGUUCCUGUUGCUGCUGACAGCGGCCGCACAAGCAGCGAGCUUCUGCCCAGAGGAUCAUGUCAUUUCUCCAUGCACCUGCCUCAAUGAUCACGACGGCGCGAGCGUCAGUUGCUACGGCGGGUACAUGUCAGCGGCAGAGAUGACGGCCAUCGUUGGCCGCUUGCAGAACACGACGAUGAGUCGCCUUCAGAUCUACAGCUUCAGCGACCUGACCGAGAUACCGGCAGGCAUGUUCCGCGGCAUGAAGAUAGUUUCGC